AAGAGUUUGUUAGUUACCAUGACGAAGAAAAGCUUAUACGAGCCGCUGAGCAGCAGUUCAACGGAGGCCACGAAUGGCAGAGGGCAGCCGUCGACGGCGGCGCACCUUGAUGACGACGGCGGCGACAGUGUUGUUCGGCACGUGCUGGUUAGUUUGAGCAUGUCUGCAUUCUUCGUGAUCUCGGCCGCACAUGUAUAGGACGCGGGGCAUCAUUGGUACAACGUGAUCAUCACCGCCAUCGUCUUCCUCUACUCCAUGGUCAUGAUCCAUCUGCUGCUGAUCAAAUGCUGGCAUCGGAACAAGAAGAGCGAACUUGAAUCAUGCCAAGUGAUUGCUAUCAGCACACCCACAGAUUGUAUGGCAUCAGUGUUGACGGUUGCUGCGAUGGGGAUGUUAUUAUCCCUUGGGGUCGUGCUCUUCGUCUUUCGCCCCGCCUGGUCUGACCUGGCGUUCAUUGCUCUCAUGGUCUCCUUAGGCUAGUUGUAAUGGGAGUAUCAUAGAUAGUA
Triticum aestivum (bread wheat) is the source of this 506-nucleotide RNA transcript. RefSeq lists it as uncharacterized. Lineage: Eukaryota; Viridiplantae; Streptophyta; Magnoliopsida; Poales; Poaceae. The record is from RefSeq and is a predicted model, not a curated record. The transcript is spliced from 3 exons.